CCUACGGGAGGCAGCAGUGGGGGAUAUUGCACAAUGGGGGGAACCCUGAUGCAGCGACGCCGCGUGGGUGAAGAAGGGCCUCGGCGCGUAAAGCCCUUUUAGCAGGGAAGAAAAUGACGGCACGUGAGGAAGGAGCCACGGCUAACUACGUGCCAGCAGCCGCGGUAAUACGUAGGGGGCAAGCGUUAUCCGGAUUUACUGGGUGUAUAGGGGGCGCAGGCGGGGAUGCAAGGCAGGUGUGAAAGUCCGGGGCCCAACCCCGGGAUUGCUCUUGACACUGGGGGGCUGGAGUGCAGGAGGGGCAGGCGGAAUUCGUGGUGUAGCGGUGAAAUGCGUAGAUAUCAGGAGGAACACCGAUGGCGAAGGCAGCCUGCUGGACUGCAACUGACGUUGAGGCUCGAAAGUGUGGGGAGCAAACAGGAUUAGAUACCCGGGUAGUC
RNAcentral lists this ribosomal RNA (440 nucleotides) under uncultured bacterium. RNAcentral describes it as "partial 16S ribosomal RNA". It matches the Rfam family "Bacterial small subunit ribosomal RNA", at positions 338 to 795 of the family's 1533-position model. The record is from RNAcentral.